GAAUAUUGGACAAUGGGGGGAACCCUGAUCCAGCCAUGCCGCGUGUGUGAAGAAGGCCUUUUGGUUGUAAAGCACUUUAAGCGAGGAGGAGGCUCCUCUAGUUAAUACCUAGGUAUAGUGGACGUUACUCUCCGAAUAAGCACCGGCUCACUAUGUGCCAGCGGCCGCGGUAAUACAGAGGGUGCAAGCGUUAAUCGGAUUUACUGGGCGUAAAGCGCGCGUAGGUGGCCAAUUAAGUCAAAUGUGAAAUCCCCGAGCUUAACUUGGGAAUUGCAUUCGAUACUGGUUGGCUAGAGUAUGGGAGAGGAUGGUAGAAUUCCAGGUGUAGCGGUGAAAUGCGUAGAGAUCUGGAGGAAUACCGAUGGCGAAGGCAGCCAUCUGGCCUAAUACUGACACUGAGGUGCGAAAGCAUGGGGAGCAAACA
RNAcentral lists this ribosomal RNA (424 nucleotides) under uncultured bacterium. RNAcentral's name for it is "bacterial SSU rRNA". It matches the Rfam family "Bacterial small subunit ribosomal RNA", at positions 359 to 774 of the family's 1533-position model. The record is from RNAcentral.